GCUGGGCACAGCAGCGCAUGCCUAUAAUCCCAGAUGCUUGGGAGGCUGAGGCAGGAGUUCAAGCCAGCCUCAGCAAAAGUGAGGCGUUAAUAAGCAACUUGGUGAGACCCUGUCUCUA
This 118-nucleotide small RNA is filed under the name Marmota monax (woodchuck). The record is from RNAcentral. Lineage: Eukaryota; Metazoa; Chordata; Mammalia; Rodentia; Sciuridae.